AACGUAGGACGCAAGCGUUAUCCGGAGUUACUGGGCGUAAAGCGCGGGCAGGUGGCUCUGUAAGUCUGAUGUGAAAGCGCCCGGCUCAACCGGGCGAGGCCAUUGGAAACUUCAGAGCUGGAGGGCAGUAGAGGCAGGCGGAAUUCCGGGUGGAGUGGUGAAAUGCGUAGAGAUCCGGAGGAACACCAGAGGCGAAGGCGGCCUGCUGGGCUGCACCUGACGCUGAACCGCGAAAGCCAGGGGAGCGAACGGG
This 253-nucleotide ribosomal RNA is filed under the name uncultured bacterium. RNAcentral describes it as "partial 16S ribosomal RNA". It matches the Rfam family "Bacterial small subunit ribosomal RNA", at positions 524 to 776 of the family's 1533-position model. The record is from RNAcentral.